This 303-nucleotide ribosomal RNA is filed under the name Pectobacterium atrosepticum. RNAcentral's name for it is "bacterial SSU rRNA". It matches the Rfam family "Bacterial small subunit ribosomal RNA", at positions 1038 to 1366 of the family's 1533-position model. The record is from RNAcentral. Lineage: Bacteria; Pseudomonadati; Pseudomonadota; Gammaproteobacteria; Enterobacterales; Pectobacteriaceae.
GUGUUGCAUGGUUGUCUUCAAUUCAUGUCGUUAGACGUUAGGUUAAGUCCGCUAAUGAAUGCAAACCCUAUGCUUAAGAAAUUAGGUGUGUAUCUCUGAAAUAGAGAUCGUAAUGGGACUAAGACAAACCUUUAUGACCCUUAUGCGAUGGGCUAUAGACGUGCCGCACAAGCAACUAUAAUAUGAGGCAACACUGCAAAGUUAAGCAAAUCAGCUAAAGUUGUUCUGUACGAAUUGUAGUCUGAAACCCGGCUACAUGAAGAAGGAAUUCUGAGUAAUCGUGGAUAAGUAUGUCACGGUGAA